Molecule: ribosomal RNA, 472 nt
Filed under: uncultured Afipia sp.
Lineage: Bacteria; Pseudomonadati; Pseudomonadota; Alphaproteobacteria; Hyphomicrobiales; Nitrobacteraceae
Description: bacterial SSU rRNA
Rfam family: Bacterial small subunit ribosomal RNA
Source: RNAcentral
AGAGUUUGAUCCUGGCUCAGAGCGAACGCUGGCGGCAGGCUUAACACAUGCAAGUCGAGCGGGCGUAGCAAUACGUCAGCGGCAGACGGGUGAGUAACGCGUGGGAACGUACCUUUUGGUUCGGAACAACCAGGGAAACUUGUGCUAAUACCGGAUAAGCCCUUACGGGGAAAGAUUUAUCGCCGAAAGAUCGGCCCGCGUCUGAUUAGCUAGUUGGUGAGGUAACGGCUCACCAAGGCGACGAUCAGUAGCUGGUCUGAGAGGAUGAUCAGCCACAUUGGGACUGAGAACGGCCCAAACUCCUACGGGAGGCAGCAGGGGGAAUAUUGGACAAUGGGCGCAAGCCUGAUCCAGCCAUGCCGCGUGAGUGAUGAAGGCCCUAGGGUUGUAAAGCUCUUUUGUGCGGGAAGAUAAUGACGGUACCGCAAGAAUAAGCCCCGGCUAACUUCGUGCCAGCAGCCGCGGUAAUUCA